RNAcentral lists this ribosomal RNA (577 nucleotides) under uncultured bacterium. Its description in RNAcentral is "partial 16S ribosomal RNA". It matches the Rfam family "Bacterial small subunit ribosomal RNA", at positions 355 to 925 of the family's 1533-position model. The record is from RNAcentral.
UGGGGAAUUUUGGACAAUGGGCGAAAGCCUGAUCCAGCAAUGCCGCGUGUGUGAAGAAGGCCUUCGGGUUGUAAAGCACUUUUGUCCGGAAAGAAAUCCUUGGCUCUAAUACAGUCGGGGGAUGACGGUACCGGAAGAAUAAGCACCGGCUAACUACGUGCCAGCAGCCGCGGUAAUACGUAGGGUGCAAGCGUUAAUCGGAAUUACUGGGCGUAAAGCGUGCGCAGGCGGUUUGCUAAGACCGAUGUGAAAUCCCCGGGCUCAACCUGGGAACUGCAUUGGUGACUGGCAGGCUAGAGUAUGGCAGAGGGGGGUAGAAUUCCACGUGUAGCAGUGAAAUGCGUAGAGAUGUGGAGGAAUACCGAUGGCGAAGGCAGCCCCCUGGGCCAAUACUGACGCUCAUGCACGAAAGCGUGGGGAGCAAACAGGAUUAGGUACCCUGGUAGUCCACGCCCUAAACGAUGUCAACUAGUUGUUGGGGAUUCAUUUCCUUAGUAACGUAGCUAACGCGUGAAGUUGACCGCCUGGGGAGUACGGUCGCAAGAUUAAAACUCAAAGGAAUUGACGGGGUCAUAGC